Molecule: transfer RNA, 83 nt
Filed under: Spirochaetota bacterium
Lineage: Bacteria; Pseudomonadati; Spirochaetota
Description: Spirochaetes bacterium (wastewater metagenome) tRNA-Leu
Rfam family: tRNA
About the family: Transfer RNA (tRNA) molecules are approximately 80 nucleotides in length. Their secondary structure includes four short double-helical elements and three loops (D, anti-codon, and T loops).
Source: RNAcentral
GCCCAGGUGGUGGAACUGGUAGACACGCAUGCUUGAGGGGCAUGUGGGAAUAUCCCGUGUGGGUUCAAGUCCCGUCCUGGGCA